This 253-nucleotide ribosomal RNA is filed under the name uncultured bacterium. Its description in RNAcentral is "partial 16S ribosomal RNA". It matches the Rfam family "Bacterial small subunit ribosomal RNA", at positions 524 to 776 of the family's 1533-position model. The record is from RNAcentral.
AACGUAGGUUCCGAGCGUUAUCCGGAUUUACUGGGCGUAAAGAGCGUGUAGGCGGCCAAACAGGUCCGUUGUGAAAACUGGAGGCUCAACCUCCAGACGUCGACGGAAACCGUGUGGCUAGAGUCCGGAAGAGGAGAGUGGAAUUCCUGGUGUAGCGGUGAAAUGCGCAGAUAUCAGGAGGAACACCGAUGGCGAAGGCAGGUCUCUGGGCCACUACUGACGCUGAGAAGCGAAAGCAUGGGGAGCGAACAGG